UCCUUAAUACCUUAAAAAUUUCAUAACCCUUUAAUUCUAUUGAGUAAUUCUAUAAUACUAUAGGAAAUAUAAUGUUAAAACUAGUAACAAGAAGAAGACCUUCUCUUUAAUGCAAGUGUAAAUCAGAAAGGACCCCCCACUGAUAAUUAACCCCCAUGAAACCAUAUUAGCAACCUCGCAAGAAAAGCCUAAUAAACUCUGAGUUAAUCUAACACAAGAACAUUUCAAGAAAGAUUAAAAGAAAAAGAAGGAACUCGGCAAACAUUAACCUCGCCUGUUUACCAAAAACAUCGCCUCUUGAAUUACCAUAAGAGGUCCAGCCUGCCCAGUGACUUUGUUCAACGGCCGCGGUAUCCUAACCGUGCGAAGGUAGCGUAAUCACUUGUCUUUUAAAUGAGGACUUGUAUGAAUGGCAUCACGAGGGUUAUACUGUCUCCUUUUUCUAAUCAGUGAAACUAAUCUUCCCGUGAAGAAGCGGGAAUAAAUAUAUAAGACGAGAAGACCCUAUGGAGCUUUAAACUCAAUAACAAAUACUAACCCUUAUUUAACUUCCAGAGCAUUAACCUCAAUCUUAGUAUAAUGAUUAUUAGUUUUAGGUUGGGGUGACCGCGGAGUAAAAAUUAACCUCCACAUUGAACAGGACCUAUCCUUGAGCCAAGAGCUACAACCCUAAGCACCAACAAAUUGACAUUAAUUGACCCAAUAUUUUGAUCAACGAACCAAGUUACCCUAGGGAUAACAGCGCAAUCCACUUCAAGAGCCCCUAUCGACAAGUGGGUUUACGACCUCGAUGUUGGAUCAGGGUAUCCCAGUGGUGCAGCCG
Molecule: ribosomal RNA, 823 nt
Filed under: Osteocephalus sp. QCAZ38420
Lineage: Eukaryota; Metazoa; Chordata; Amphibia; Anura; Hylidae
Description: partial 16S ribosomal RNA
Rfam family: Bacterial large subunit ribosomal RNA
Source: RNAcentral